Lynx canadensis (Canada lynx) is the source of this 4760-nucleotide long non-coding RNA. RefSeq lists it as uncharacterized. The transcript is spliced from 4 exons. The record is from RefSeq and is a predicted model, not a curated record. NCBI's taxonomy places the organism in Eukaryota, Metazoa, Chordata, Mammalia, Carnivora, Felidae.
AAGGUGGUCUGCACCAGGAAGUCACAGGGUUUCACUAGCCAGAUCUCUGCAUCCUGACCACCACUACACCUCUGCCAUAGCCCCAACUCCACGCCCACAGUCUUACAGUGAAUCAGCCCAUUGUAGCGAAGGAGUUGCAGCCUUCAGAUGACUGGGGUUCAUGCUGUAUGACUGCUUAUUCCUCUUGAUCAGGAAGCCAGAGCAAUUCCACUGGAGACCAUCCAUCACAGUUUUCCCUGUAGACACCUCAUGCCACUGAUUGGAUAUGAGGGCCUUGUGACUUGCCGAGAUGGGCCAUAAAUAGAUGAACAUUUGCCUCAUCUGAGCAGAGGUUUUUAGAUGAGCUCUUGUGUUCUGACCUCCACCCUGAGACCAUCAAGUUUCGUGUAGCGGCUACUUCUUCAUCCUGGGUUCGGGAACGAGAAGACACAGGGAGCAUUGCCAAGAAGAGUCCAGCAGAGCUGCAAAUAUCCAGAAAUUUCAGAACUUUUAGGAUUGAAAAUUGAAACUUUCUUAUUUCUAACAAGUUAAAGAAUCUAAAAUUCAGACAAAGAUUGUUCACAGAUCCAACACACCCUUGGUCAAGUCUACUGAUUAGAUUAAUAUGGCCUUAGUAAAUGAUCUCAGUUAGACAAAUGGCUCAGGGAAAAGACACUAAAGGUGCAUCCAUCUGAAGCUUGAUAAGAUCAAAGUAUCUAUGAAGGUAUUUCUUGAAAAGUUAUGGGUAUGGUUAUUGACUCACAUGAAACUUGUUGGGAUCAAACUGAUUAAAAAGAAAAAAGAAAUUUUGUAGAGAGCUGUUGCCAAAGUACUCCCAGCCUGGAUUAGAAGAGACUACAACUAUUCAAAUCAUAAAUAACUCUUGGGUCCCUAGUCUUCUACAGGUGUGAAGCAAUCUGAGAUAGCCUGUCAGUCACAAAUGGCAUCUUUUCUGAUACUCACUUCAGAAAAGGCCAAGGAAGAUAACGGAAAAGGAAGAGUUGUCCAAUCAAACAUCGUGGAGAACACAGACUAAGAAAUGACUCCCAGAAAAUAUCACUGGAGCAAAUCAAGGAGCAGUCCCUACCAUUAGUGUAGAGGAACUUGCAACUUCUGUUCAGUGGAAUAUCAGAACUGUUAUUCACCAGUGACUGGUCACUGAAUCAAGAAGAGCAGCCAGCAGACAUGAUAUAUAUUCACCAGAUUCUGGACAUCUGAGCCCAAUGCCUGAAACAUGAGAAGCAGAGCUGAAUGCUCAAUCACAGUUAUCCCAUCCAUCCAUCAGACAAGAUGGAGGUGAAGGCCUGUGCAUGGCACACAGUGCUGCCAGUCUCUGUUGGGCAUGAAGAAGUCUGAAAGAGCUCACUCUUGUACAUGACUCUGCUGGGAGGAUCUUUCCUAUGACUUACAAGGUUCUCUUCCUCCCACCUAGGUACCACCUGCAAUUGCUGGUCCAGAAUGCCCGUCCUAAAGAGAAAUGAUAGCCAGAUGGAAUCAUCCUGGGAUGUAGUAUACAAAGAUACUACAAGAGAAAAGAUUGAAAGGGACAGAGCAUGGGGGCUAGGGAGCAGUGGUGUGGUGACAAAUUAAAAAGCAUCAGAAAUAUGCCAGAAAUGUGGCACUACAGCCCAGGCAAAAAUUAGCAUCAAGUCCAUGUAUCACCAAGAAUUCACAAGGUAAUGAAGCUAUUGAUUGAUGAAAUAAGAAUUUUUCCAUUGGGUUAUGAGGGCCCAGGGAAGAUAAAGUGAAAUAAUAGGUGGAAAAAACAAGCCCUUAGGGAAAUAUGAGGGUUACUUUGGAAGCAGCACCAAGGAGAAUAGACACUGCUGAGAACACAUAAGGACAGUGGACGACAAGAGUGAGAAAGUGAAAUGGCAAUAAACAAGAAUUGGAAGGGAAUGUAGAUAAAUGAUCAAUAAAGAAGACACAUUCAUUGGAUCCAGAAUUAAUGAGAGAGGACUCUAAAUCCUAAAUGGCACAUCUUAUUCAAGGGAAUACAAAGUUACAUCAGAUUGUCAACACUAAGACAUAGCGUAGUGAAGUCCUGAAUAUCCAAGAUAGAGAUUUCCUAACAAUGGAAACAUUAUAUAAAUAGCACAGUUCAGAGAAAAAAAAAGGGGGGGGGGAAGGUAAUGUAAGAGUAGAGACUUCCUUAACUUUCACAGCCAGGCAGCAAAGCUGACAAACCAGCUAAUACAACUUUUUAAAAUAUACAAAUAUAAGAAAGUAAUAAAAAUCAAAAUCAGCUACUAGAAGGAGUACUAAGAAGUGGAAAUUGCUGAUUUCACCAUUAAUAUGGUAAGGAGUCAAAGAAUGUUGAUCAAAGAAAUAGAGGUCUUAAGUAAAGUAUACCACAUGCUUAUUAAAACAAACCACUAGAGAAAAAUUUAUAUUUUUCAUAUAAUCAGCAAAAAGCAAGAAAAAACACAGACCACAUAGUGAAAUGUAGAAAUAAAAAGGUCAAUAAAAAAACAGAAGUGUAUCAUUAAUUAUGACAAAAAAUAAGAUCCAUCAAAUCCACUUUAAGAAAUGUAUCUUCCAAAUAUAUUCAUAUAUAUGUGAACGAGGUAUGUACAGAGAUGUCUACUGCACAGCUGUUUGUAACAGCAAAAGCCUGGGAACAAUUUAAAAGUUUAUUAAUGGCAACUGAUUCAAUAAAUUAUACCACAAAAUGGAAUACUAUACAGCAGACAGAAAGAUUGACACAGCUUCAAAAUCAUAAUGUUAGGUUUAAAAAUAAGGUAUAGAAUACACAACCAUUUGUACAAAAAUUAUAUGCACACAUAACAUAUAAUCUGUGUAUGUGUGUAUGAGUGUAGAUACAUACCAUCUUUGGAAGAACAAGGAAAUUUGUAAAAACAGAUGUGACCAGACAGGGAAAUUGGGUCAGUGGAAGAUGAAGGCCAGAAGAGUACUUCUCAUGUACUCCUCUACACUUCCCAAACGGUGUAUGUGUGCAGAUUCUGUCUAACCAAAAUCAUAUCAAUUACCAAAUUGUUGACCCUAUUAUGCAAGUGCCAAUUUAUAAUAGGUUGGGCAUCAACAUAAUUCCCUACCUAGAACAUCUCUGAGUAUCCAGUUUGCUUGUGUCCCAUUAAAAUAUAAGAUUUUAUUUUGCCUUGGACUCACUUUUAGAACUUGACCUAGAAGGGACUUGAACGCAGAUGUCACCAUCAUCUAGAUAGAAAUGGCCUAGAUCACCAGCUAACACCUGCUUCAAGGGAAGGGUAGAGAAUGCCCAUCAUUUGUGAGCAUGCUGAUCAGACACAAGGAAACUGAGUUAAAUCAGAUUGACGUCAUAGUUAUAGUUAGACAGAGGGGUGAUGUGUCCAGGAGCACUCCAGGACAAGCUGUGAAGCUAUUAUUAAGUACUCUUCAAUUUUUAAUUUUAUAACUGUCCACUCCCACUGAGAAUGCCCUCCUGCAGACAUCAUUUGAAGUGAGAAAACAUUUCCUGCUUUGCCUGUAUUUUGUGGAUUUUUUUAGCUUUCUUCUCAUAGAUUAUAAUCUCUAGACCUACACCUGAGGGAUAAUUUACACAAGAUUAUCCACACAGAAUGAUCUUCCACAAUUUGCUGUUUCAAGGCAUGAAAAAAAAAAAAAAGAAUCACAACUGCCUAGGGAGAAAAAAGAAUCAUAAGGCCAGUCUCCCUCUUGAGAGUUGAAUUUGAUCCUUUAAGGUGAGCAAUUCAAUCUUUUAAAAGGCACAUCUCUGUUCUAAUCAAUCAAGCUUUCAUUUCCAAUGGCAAUAAGCUUCCCUAGGCACUCAAGAAAUCAGAAACUAGAGCCUUAGUACAUGAAAAGUCAAUACAGUAUUUUCUACUAAGUUGACUUGGUCCUACAAACCUACCCAGGAUUUUCUCAGCAGGAAAUCUGGUGUUUCAAUAUAUCAUGUGAUGUCAACACCAUCUAUCAGUGCCAAUCUGUCACAUUAAAUGGAAACGAUGUGGUUUGCAUCCAGGACUUCAGGAAUAGAGUUUCUGAUAAAUUUGUGAAGAACCAAAGACAAGCAAUAGCCCCCAGUGUGUGUCCAACCUCACAUCUUGGGUUAUAUUGCUUUGUGAGGACUGUGUCCGAAGUUGACUGAUGAGAUAUUCUGGGCAUUAGGGGUUCUGAUUCUAGUUACUUAUGAUAGCAAGUGGCUUUGCAGAUAUCAUUGGCCAAUAAAAGAGUCAGAAACCAUGGGCAUGAUUCCAAUCCUCUUUUUCUUCAUUAAUAAAGUUUUGCGUGAAGCGGUAGGAAGAUUCAUAAAAUCUAGAUGACUCACAAAGUGAAAUUUAUAGUACAAGCAUUUCGUAAUGCUUUUCUCCCCCAAGAUGCCAUAUUAGAAAUUUGCUCAGGGAACACUCAAAUUUUCGCAAGACUAGAAAAAUAAUCUUCUAUGCAAACAUAUUCCAAGGGCUGAAUAGUCAAUAUGACAUCCUGAUGCAGUUCAUAUCUUAACACACUGGUAUAUGGGUAGUUAAUGGAAGAAAAGUUUUAAGGCCUGGCUUCAGAUCUCAGCCCCACCCCACACCACCACCACCACAGUAUGAGACAUGUAAGAACUGGAGGCUUUUUAACUUUCUAAACCUGCAAAACAGGCAUCAGAAGAGCUGGUCCACCUUUCCGCAUGCCUCCUGGGAGAACUGAUGGCAAUGAAGUUUGUGCUUAUCUUUUGUGUGCGUUAGAAGGGAUGUCAUUGUUUUUUAGGUAGUUAGUGGUGGUAAUUCUGGGCUCUUCAUGAGUAUUCUGCAUCUAAUGCUUUAUAUGCCAGUUUCCUAGUUGGGUCUAAUUAUCUU